RNAcentral lists this ribosomal RNA (484 nucleotides) under uncultured Flavobacteriaceae bacterium. RNAcentral describes it as "bacterial SSU rRNA". It matches the Rfam family "Bacterial small subunit ribosomal RNA", at positions 28 to 505 of the family's 1533-position model. The record is from RNAcentral. Lineage: Bacteria; Pseudomonadati; Bacteroidota; Flavobacteriia; Flavobacteriales; Flavobacteriaceae.
GAUGAACGCUAGCGGCAGGCUUAACACAUGCAAGUCGAGGGGUAACAGGGAUUGCUUGCAAUCCGCUGACGACCGGCGCACGGGUGCGUAACGCGUAUGCAACCUACCUUUUACUGGGGGAUAGUCAAGAGAAAUUUUGAAUAAUACCCCAUACGAUCCAAUUCACUCCUGUGAGAUGGAAGAAAACUUCGGUGGUAAAAGAUGGGCAUGCGUCCUAUUAGUUUGUUGGUGAGGUAACGGCUCACCAAGACUACGAUAGGUAGGGGUCCUGAGAGGGAGAUCCCCCACACUGGUACUGAGACACGGACCAGACUCCUACGGGAGGCAGCAGUGAGGAAUAUUGGACAAUGGAGGCAACUCUGAUCCAGCCAUGCCGCGUGCAGGAAGACGGCCCUAUGGGUUGUAAACUGCUUUUAUACAGGAAGAAACGUUAGUACGUGUACUAGCCUGACGGUACUGUAAGAAUAAGGAUCGGCUAACUCCG